Molecule: ribosomal RNA, 253 nt
Filed under: uncultured bacterium
Lineage: Bacteria
Description: partial 16S ribosomal RNA
Rfam family: Bacterial small subunit ribosomal RNA
Source: RNAcentral
UACGAAGGGUGCAAGCGUUACUCGGAAUUACUGGGCGUAAAGCGUGCGUAGGUGGUUUGUUAAGUCUGUUGUGAAAGCCCCGGGCUCAACCUGGGAAUGGCAAUGGAUACUGGCAAGCUAGAGUGCGGUAGAGGGCAGUGGAAUUCCCGGUGUAGCAGUGAAAUGCGUAGAGAUCGGGAGGAACAUCUGCGGCGAAGGCGACUGCCUGGACCAGCACUGACACUGAGGCACGAAAGCGUGGGGAGCAAACAGG